GGUGUUGUGGACGAGUGGAUAAGUCACCGGACUGUGGAUCGCAAGGUCCGUGGUUCAAGUCCCGCAGCACUA
This 72-nucleotide transfer RNA is filed under the name Strongylocentrotus purpuratus (purple sea urchin). It matches the Rfam family "tRNA". From Rfam's summary of the family: Transfer RNA (tRNA) molecules are approximately 80 nucleotides in length. Their secondary structure includes four short double-helical elements and three loops (D, anti-codon, and T loops). The record is from Rfam by way of RNAcentral. Lineage: Eukaryota; Metazoa; Echinodermata; Echinoidea; Camarodonta; Strongylocentrotidae.